RNAcentral lists this ribosomal RNA (253 nucleotides) under uncultured bacterium. RNAcentral's name for it is "partial 16S ribosomal RNA". It matches the Rfam family "Bacterial small subunit ribosomal RNA", at positions 524 to 776 of the family's 1533-position model. The record is from RNAcentral.
UACGUAGGGACCGAGCGUUGUCCGGAAUCAUUGGGCGUAAAGAGCGUGUAGGCGGCCUGUUAAGUCUUGCGUGAAAUCUCGAGGCUCAACCUCGAGACGUCGGCGGAAACCAUCUGGCUAGAGUCCGGAAGAGGAGAGUGGAAUUCCUGGUGUAGCGGUGAAAUGCGUAGAUAUUGGGAGGAACACCAGUGGCGAAGGCGGCUCACUGGACCGGUACUGACGCUGAAGCGCGAAAGCGUGGGGAGCAAACGGG